UAUCUUGUGGCUGCUUGAUUGAA
RNAcentral lists this non-coding RNA (23 nucleotides) under Arabidopsis thaliana (thale cress). Lineage: Eukaryota; Viridiplantae; Streptophyta; Magnoliopsida; Brassicales; Brassicaceae. The record is from RNAcentral.